AGUGAACGCUGGCGGUAGGCCUAGCACAUGCAAGUCGAACGGCAGCACAGUAAGAGCUUGCUCUUACGGGUGGCGAGUGGCGGACGGGUGAGGAAUACAUCGGAAUCUACUUUUUCGUGGGGGAUAACGUAGGGAAACUUACGCUAAUACCGCAUACGACCUACGGGUGAAAGCAGGGGCUCUUCGGACCUUGCGCGAUUGAAUGAGCCGAUGUCGGAUUAGCUAGUUGGCGGGGUAAAGGCCCACCAAGGCGACGAUCCGUAGCUGGUCUGAGAGGAUGAUCAGCCACACUGGAACUGAGACACGGUCCAGACUCCUACGGGAGGCAGCAGUGGGGAAUAUUGGACAAUGGGCGCAAGCCUGAUCCAGCCAUACCGCGUGGGUGAAGAAGGCCUUCGGGUUGUAAAGCCCUUUUGUUGGGAAAGAAAAGCAGCAGGUUAAUACCCCGCUGUUCUGACGGUACCCAAAGAAUAAGCACCGGCUAACUUCGUG
RNAcentral lists this ribosomal RNA (492 nucleotides) under uncultured bacterium. Its description in RNAcentral is "partial 16S ribosomal RNA". It matches the Rfam family "Bacterial small subunit ribosomal RNA", at positions 29 to 507 of the family's 1533-position model. The record is from RNAcentral.